AUCGUUACCCGAGCCCAGCGCCGGGCCAAUGUCCUAUCUCAGGGUUUCCCACGUCGCUCGCUCCUUGACGGCUGACCGACACUGGGUCUGAGGUGUAAGCGCUUUCCAGGCCCUUCCCUGGGGCUUGGAGGGGAAUGGCGCAAAGGACUUUUCUUACAAGCAGAGAGGUUGGACUCCUGAAAGCCUGGACAGUGUCAUCAUCUUCACCUGAAGAGUGGAAAAAUUCAAGCAAAGAGUUUCUCAGGAAAUGACCAAGUAAAACAUCUGGAGUAAGUCAGCAGGAUUCACAGUGACUCCCCCCAACCAGCUGGUGGUGUUUCUCUCUGAAAGCAGCGCUUGGUACCAGUGUGAACUCUCUUCCUUCAGAAGUCUCAUCAGGUGGACGUAAUACGAGGGUCUGGUCCCCCAUACCUUGAGGACUCCGCUGCCAUCUGACAAUUACAGACAAUCCAAUUGUCCUCAUCCUUGAGGACUCUGCUGCCAUCUGACAAUUAGAGACAGUCCAAAACAUGCCACACUUUGAUCCUAAACACAUUCCUGGCUUUGGUCACUUUUGAAAAG
This 561-nucleotide long non-coding RNA is filed under the name Homo sapiens (human). RNAcentral describes it as "non-protein coding MKLN1-AS:20". Lineage: Eukaryota; Metazoa; Chordata; Mammalia; Primates; Hominidae. The record is from RNAcentral.